Long non-coding RNA from Anneissia japonica, 1546 nucleotides. RefSeq lists it as uncharacterized. The record is from RefSeq and is a predicted model, not a curated record. Lineage: Eukaryota; Metazoa; Echinodermata; Crinoidea; Comatulida; Comatulidae. The transcript has 4 exons.
CCAAAGGGGGAGUUAUUUUUUGGGAGUUAUUUUAACUCCUUAAAUGGUAUUAAAGUAACUCCUUAGGGGAGUAAACCUUAAGUUUACUCUCAUUUCACUCCAAACUUAUACAAGGUUAUAAUGUUGGAGUAAUUUUUACUCCAGUAUUUGGGUUGUUGGAGUUAAUUUAACUUCAUGUUUAGAGUAAAACAAGCAGAGUUAAAAUAACCCAUCCACAGAGAGUCAAAUUGAUCCUAUCGCAUGAAUUAUAGCAGAGUUAAAUUAACCCAUCCACAGAGAGCAAAGUUGAUCCUAUCGCAAUGCAUAAUGGCAGAGUUAAAAUAACCCAUCUAUCAGAGAGUUAAAUUGAUCCUAUCACAAAGCAUUAUGGGAGAGCCCGCGUUAUUCGAAGAAAAAAGUUUAGUUUCACCAUUUUCUGUGUCUCGAUGUUGAAAGAAAAUGAAGAGUUUAAUUGAUUUUUUUCGUUUUUUAUUGGAAUGUGUUUGAAGAGUUCUUGGCAGUCAGCCAUCAAAAAUCAUUUCAAGAAUAUCAUGAAAACUGAACGAGUUGCUGCUAGAAAUGGAACUGGAGGUGCAGCAGUGGUAAAACCAGAGAUAAAAAAGAAAAUGUAAGGUAGUAGAAACAGAGGAUGACAAAGGUCAAAGUUGAUUUACCAAAAUUAUGCGUUAAUCAGCAACCUAUGGUUUCCAGCGGAGAAAUAUCUUUGAAAAUCCUUUUUCAUUAAUUAAACAUCAUGGAGGGAUAUCCCGCACUCCAGUUGGUGUCAGAGAGUUCUUGGCAGUCAGCCAUCAAAAAUCAUUUCAAGAAUAUCAUGAAAACUGAACGAGUUGCUGCUGGAAAUGGAGCUGGAGGUGCAGCAGUGGUAAAACCAGAGAUAAAAAGAAAAGAAAAUGUUAGGUAGUAGAAAUAGAGGAUGACAAAUGUCAAAGUUGAUUUACCAAAAUUAUGCAUUAAUCAGCAACCUACAGUAUGGUUUCCAGCGGAGAAAUAUCUUUGAAAAUCCUGUUUGCAUUAAUUAAACAUCAUGGAGGGAUAUCCCGCACUCCAGUUGGUGUCAGAGGAGAAUGAAUCCAUUGACGAAAUUAUCCAGAAGUUGAUUUUUCCACGGCUGAGGCCAGGCAACCUCAAAGAAGUCAUCCCACUCUACUUCGCUGCCGAGGGGAGGAGAAUAAUAAUAAUAAUAAUUAAUAAUAAUAAUAUGCAAGUUUUUAUUUAGCGCUCUAUACAAGUAAGUCUCAGAGCGCUGAGAAGAAUUGCGAAGGCCACUGGCUCUAGCCCUUCUACUGGGCACCUUCUAUGUUUUUAACAUUCAGUAUCAUAAUAAAGCAAAGAAAUAUAUCUUCCUAGAAUCCAAGAUGUUUGAAAAGAUGAAGGAAGCCAACAAACAUGUCAUUACACUGUUUGUAACUUUCUAGUUGGAAAAUAAGAGUCAUUCAUUUUGAAGGGGUACUUCUCUCGCUAAUUGCCAUUAUAGGCAUGGUUUAUACGUGUAAAGAUAAAAGAAUAAUGUAUUUUGUGAACAAAAAUAAAGGAAUGAUUAUUUAUA